GAUAAACGCUGGCGGCGCACAUAAGACAUGCAAGUCGAACGAACUUAAUUUUAAUAUUUAUAUUAAAAAGCGGUUAGUGGCGGACUGGUGAGUAACGCGUAAGCAAUCUGCCUAUCAGAGGGGAAUAACAGUGAGAAAUCAUUGCUAAUACCGCAUAUGCCAUAAGAAUCACAUGAUUCUAGUGGGAAAGGAGCAAUCCACUGAUAGAUGAGCUUGCGUCUGAUUAGCUAGUUGGUGGGGUAACGGCCUACCAAGGCGACGAUCAGUAGCCGGACUGAGAGGUUGAACGGCCACAUUGGGACUGAGAUACGGCCCAGACUCCUACGGGAGGCAGCAGUCGGGAAUAUUGCGCAAUGGAGGAAACUCUGACGCAGUGACGCCGCGUAUAGGAAGAAGGUUUUCGGAUUGUAAACUAUUGUCGUUAGGGAAGAUAAAAGACAGUACCUAAGGAGGAAG
Molecule: ribosomal RNA, 456 nt
Filed under: uncultured bacterium
Lineage: Bacteria
Description: bacterial SSU rRNA
Rfam family: Bacterial small subunit ribosomal RNA
Source: RNAcentral